This 71-nucleotide transfer RNA is filed under the name Hydrophasianus chirurgus (pheasant-tailed jacana). Its description in RNAcentral is "tRNA-Glu". It matches the Rfam family "tRNA". From Rfam's summary of the family: Transfer RNA (tRNA) molecules are approximately 80 nucleotides in length. The record is from RNAcentral. Lineage: Eukaryota; Metazoa; Chordata; Aves; Charadriiformes; Jacanidae.
GUUUCUGUAGUUGAAAUUUACAACAGCGGCUUUUCAAGCCGCAGGUCUUGGAGAGAAGCCAGGCAGGAAUU